GGGCCUGUAGCUCAGUUGGUUAGAGCGCACGCCUGAUAAGCGUGAGGUCGGUGGUUCAAGUCCCCCCAGGCCCACCA
This 77-nucleotide transfer RNA is filed under the name Rickettsiales bacterium. RNAcentral describes it as "tRNA-Ile". It matches the Rfam family "tRNA". From Rfam's summary of the family: Transfer RNA (tRNA) molecules are approximately 80 nucleotides in length. Their secondary structure includes four short double-helical elements and three loops (D, anti-codon, and T loops). Lineage: Bacteria; Pseudomonadati; Pseudomonadota; Alphaproteobacteria; Rickettsiales. The record is from RNAcentral.